GUUGCCGGAGCCAGUGUUGACGUCGGACAUGAUGCCACACUUUGAGGACGUAGCGAUCAUUCCUAACCCCGGGGAGCGCGCCGAGGCCAUGCGCCAGCUGAUCAACCGCCUGCCAACCGCCAACCGCCUGCUGCUACAAUACAUGUUCAAGCAUAUGGGACACAUCAUUGCAAGGCAUCUUGUCAGCCGUCCCAGCCUCUCGUCACCCUAUCCCCGCUGGACUCUGGGUAAAGACGUGACCAACCCCCAGCCUCCAGCCUCUUCUCACACCUCCAAGCCUUUCCCCGCUGGACAUUGCUUCGAGACGUGAUGAACAACAACAGCCUCCAGCAUCUGCCACACCUCCGAGCCUCUCUCCUCGUCAUUUGCCCGGUGGACCCUGGACGAGGAGGACGUGAGUAAGAGGAGGUGAAGAUGAAGACGAGGAAUAAAUGAAACCACUACAUGCCUGAGAUGCCCCGCCCCGCCCCAGCCCACCAUCAUGACCUGCCCGCCCCCCUGGC
Molecule: long non-coding RNA, 503 nt
Organism: Eriocheir sinensis (Chinese mitten crab)
Lineage: Eukaryota; Metazoa; Arthropoda; Malacostraca; Decapoda; Varunidae
Exons: 3
Source: RefSeq, a predicted model, not a curated record